CGGUAAUACGUAGGUGGCAAGCGUUGUCCUGGAUUUAUUGGGCGUAAAGCGAGCGCAGGCGGUUUUCUUAGGUCUGAUGUGAAAGCGUUCGGCUUAACCGGAGAAGUGCAUCGGAAACCAGGAGACUUGAGUGCAGAAGAGGACAGUGGAACUCCAUGUGUAGCGGUGAAAUGCGUAGAUAUAUGGAAGAACACCAGUGGCGAAAGGCGGCUGUCUGGUCUGUAACUGACGCUGAGGCUCGAAAGCAUGGGUAGCGAACAGGAUUAGAUACCCUGGUAGUCCAUGCCGUAAACGAUGAGUGCUAAGUGUUGGAGGGUUUCCGCCCUUCAGUGCUGCAGCUAACGCAUUAAGCACUCCGCCUGGGGAGUACGACCGCAAGGUUGAAACUCAAAGGAAUUGACGGGGGCCCGCACAAGCGGUGGAGCAUGUGGUUUAAUUCGAUGCUACGCGAAGAACCUUACCAGGUCUUGACAUCUUCUGCCAACCUAAGAGAUUAGGCGUUCCCUUCGGGGACAGAAUGACAGGUGGUGCAUGGUUGUCGUCAGCUCGUGUCGUGAGAUGUUGGGUUAAGUCCCGCAACGAGCGCAACCCUUAUUGUUAGUUGCCAGCAUUCAGUUGGGCACUCUAGCAAGACUGCCGGUGACAAACCGGAGGAAGGUGGGGAUGACGUCAAAUCAUCAUGCCCCUUAUGACCUGGGCUACACACGUGCUACAAUGGACGGUACAACGAGUCGCGAAACCGCGAGGUCAAGCUAAUCUCUUAAAGCCGUUCUCAGUUCGGAUUGUAGGCUGCAACUCGCCUACAUGAAGUUGGAAUCGCUAGUAAUCGUGGAUCAGCAUGCCACGGUGAAUACGUUCCCGGGCCUUGUACACACCGCCCGUCACACCAUGAGAGUUUGUAACACCCAAAGCCGGUGAGGUAACC
This 925-nucleotide ribosomal RNA is filed under the name Lentilactobacillus parafarraginis. RNAcentral's name for it is "bacterial SSU rRNA". It matches the Rfam family "Bacterial small subunit ribosomal RNA", at positions 518 to 1440 of the family's 1533-position model. Lineage: Bacteria; Bacillati; Bacillota; Bacilli; Lactobacillales; Lactobacillaceae. The record is from RNAcentral.